Long non-coding RNA from Passer domesticus (house sparrow), 261 nucleotides. RefSeq lists it as uncharacterized. The transcript is spliced from 3 exons. Lineage: Eukaryota; Metazoa; Chordata; Aves; Passeriformes; Passeridae. The record is from RefSeq and is a predicted model, not a curated record.
CACUCCGAAAGCUAAAUGGGAUAGACCCAAGGCUCAUGCACAAGAGUGUCAAAGGAGCAAUGGAGAAAUAGCUGGUGGGCAUGGCCUGGGAGGAAGAGUAUGUGGCGUCCUAUGAAACCACCUUUCACAAGUGCUUCAGAAAAAUCUCAGGGUCUAGGGGGAAGUUUAAUGUUUGCUGUUCUGGGAUCAUUUGAAGCCAUGCAUUCAAAGAGGACAAAAUCACUUUUAAGUCUGCCUGUAGGAAAUCUAUCUUGGCAACCA